CUGACUUAUUUAUUAACCAUCAAAGUAAUCCCCAACAUCAGCUCUAAUCUAGGCAUCUACCGUAGUCCACUGCUCAACAAUGCAUGACGCACUGUCCUCACUCCUUAUCUCGAUCGCUGUAUUUGAUGAUGUCCGCAAAAUGCCCCCACAUAAAUGCCCCCACAUGAUCCUAUCAAAUCAAGCCAUUAAAGCAGGUGACUGCAGGAGAGGGUCAUGUCAACCGCCAUGCCCUAUCCAAGUCGUAGCUAUUAAGAAAAAUAGUUAGCCAUAUAUAGAAUGAGAUCGCAUCAACC
RNAcentral lists this long non-coding RNA (293 nucleotides) under Elaeis guineensis (African oil palm). RNAcentral's name for it is "long non-coding RNA (EGUI_LNC026830)". The record is from RNAcentral. Lineage: Eukaryota; Viridiplantae; Streptophyta; Magnoliopsida; Arecales; Arecaceae.